Molecule: transfer RNA, 68 nt
Filed under: Cleptocaccobius convexifrons
Lineage: Eukaryota; Metazoa; Arthropoda; Insecta; Coleoptera; Scarabaeidae
Description: tRNA-Tyr
Source: RNAcentral
AGUAAAAUGGCUGAAGUAAUUAAGCGAUAAAUUGUAAAUUUAUUUAUGAAAUUGAAUUUCUUUUACUA